GUGCCAGGUGCUGUAUGGGGCCUGAAAGGUAAUCUCCAGGAGUCCUACAGAGCAGGUAUCCAUUCUACCUUUCUCUCAGAUAAGGAAGAGAUAUUACUGUGCCGAAAAACUCAAGAUGCCAGCCGCGAAGACAUACAUGGAGGAAGCGGCGCAGGAAGAAAAAUAAAGCAGGUGUCGAAGGGGCCUCCUGAACCAAGAGAAAACAGCGCCUGCCUGGGAGAAAUGACAAAUCACAGCUGGCGGAUCAAUCUGCGUAUGCACAGCCCUUCCCCAAGCCCACGCCGAGCAGCAGGAACCGGGACCCCGGCCCCAGGCUGGGCCCUCCCAGCCUCUCUUUCCAGCCUCUCCUGCAGAGGCUGAGCAGGGCCUCCGUGCCCCCCACCCAGCCCUGACUCCUCAGCAGGGAGGAGCAAGGUGUUUGUCUGUAUUUGGAACACAGGGCAAGAGGGUGCAGAGGGAGCCUCCGAACAUCUGCCUAGGACUCUGGAUGAAUCAGAAGGAAAGGCACCAGUUAACCUCUUGAUCUCACAUCCAGCCAUCCAGAGCUGAGUCUGUGCAUAUGGAGGGGUUCAAAUGCACUGAAAGUGCAUUUUCGUCACCUGGGCAAGGCAGACAGAGCCUCCUGACAUCCCCCUUGCUGUGGCUUCCUGCUGGUGACAUCAACAGGUGGUACAGCUUCCUAACCGCCUUCAAGGUCCCCUGAGACCAGGAGAGAGAAGGAAAUCCUAACAACCCCAGAGAAGGCCUGCAGUAGGUUGGAGCGCACUAGGGCCUGCAGCCACACUUCUUACUGAGAGUCCUGCUGUCAAAAGCCCUUGUGUGUUCCUACCUGCCACACUAAGCAUGAAUGGGAAGUCCGCAGCAGCAGCCUGGACGAGGGAGGGUCAAGAAGAAGGUGUUCCAACUAUUUGCUUUAAUAAAAACGUUUACUAGAAACACUAGAAAGUGUUUUCCCCCUCCCGCUCCCCCUCUCCCUCUCCCUCUCCCUCUCCCCACGGUCUCCCUCUCCCUCUCUUUCUACGGUCUCCCUCUGAUGCCGAGCCAAAGCUGGACUGUACUGCUGCCAUCUCGGCUCACUGCAACCUCCCUGCCUGAUUCUCCUGCCUCAGCCUGCCGAGUGCCUGCGAUUGCAGGCACGCACCACCACACCUGACUGGUUUUCGUAUUUUUUUGGUGGAGACGGGAUUUCGCUGUGUUGGCCGGGCCGGUCUCCAGCUCCUAACCGCGAGUGAUCCGCCA
Molecule: long non-coding RNA, 1239 nt
Filed under: Homo sapiens (human)
Lineage: Eukaryota; Metazoa; Chordata; Mammalia; Primates; Hominidae
Description: HSALNT0136018
Source: RNAcentral